CUCAACUACCAGGAAUAAUCUCUAGUGACAAGCAGAGUGCUACAGCAGUUUUGCUCAUCUUUCUAAAGCACUCUUACACUCACUGCUUCGUUAACUGAAGGAUGUACUUUGCUGCAGAAUCACACUUAGAUGUUGGAUAAAACAAAGAAUCAUUGCACCAGCAAAGGAAAGCACUUGAACAAGUUGUGAUGCCUGAAGAAAACGUAUUUCAGCAGCAAGCUGUACACAGCCCCCUUGAGAAGCAGCAGGGGACCUCAAUAUUGUGCCACAACUGUGGGAAUGCCUGCAGAGGAGAAGUCCUUCGUGUGCAGAACAAGUACUUCCAUAUUAAGUGCUUUGUCUGCAAAGUUUGUGGAUGUGACUUGGGCCAGGGAGGCUUUUUUGUUCGACAAGGAGAAUAUAUUUGUACAUUGGACUAUCAAAGACUUUACGGAACACGAUGUUUCAGCUGUGAAGAAUUUAUUGAAGGGGAGGUUGUUUCAGCUCUGGGGAAGACUUAUCAUCCACGAUGCUUUGUUUGCGCUGUUUGCCGGCAGCCGUUUCCUCCUGGAGAUCGAGUAACCUUUAAUGGGAAAGAAUGCAUUUGCCAAAAAUGUACACCGCCUGUACCCCCUGGUGGCCCUGCCCCUCUUCAGGCAGUCCGAAAUUGUUGUGGCUGUGGAAAGGAAUUUCAAAAUGAACAGUCCUUAUUAGCUCUGGAUAAACACUGGCAUCUUGGAUGUUUUAAGUGUCGGGUUUGCAACAAGGUCCUGAAUGCAGAAUAUAUCAGCAAGGAUGGGAUUCCAUACUGUGAAACUGACUACCAUGCUAUCUUUGGCAUUCAAUGUGAACACUGCAAGAAGUAUAUUACUGGGAAAGUACUAGAGGCUGGUGACAAACAUUAUCACCCCACCUGUGCUAGAUGUGCCAAAUGUGACCUGAUGUUCAAAGAAGGAGAAGAGAUGUAUCUUCAAGGUUCUACUAUUUGGCAUCCUUUAUGUAGACAGUCUGCAAAAAGUGAAGAAAAACAUAAGAAGCAGGUGCGGAUACACUUCAGUGAUGAUAUCUCACAGGUAACAAGAACUUCUUCUGAAAGUAUCACUUCUGUGCCAGCAUCAAACACUUCAGGAUCUCCAAGCCGGAUCAUUUAUGCUAAACUUGGUGAUGAACUUCUUGACUACAGGGAUCUGGCUGCCCUUCCUAAAACAAAGGCCAUUUAUAAUAUUGAUCGUCCAGAUUUGCUCACCUACUCUCCAUAUAUCACUUACCCAUCUGAUGACAGGCAGAGCUUCGGGGAGUCACCCCAGCUGCUUUCUCCAACACCUACAGAGGGUGAUCAAGGUGACAAAUCACCACGGCAGCAACGAGCUUCCAGCCCAAGCUCAACAAGCUCUUUGGGAUACGGAAGGUAUACACCAACACGUUCACCUCAGAACUAUAGCAGACCAGAACUGCCCUCUACUGGCACCUGUUCAGUAAGCUCUGGCAACUACAGCUCACUUCCUCUCUAUACCAGCAACAUUUCUACGUUUCGACAUAACUAUGUCCCAUACUUUAAAGGCGGCAAGCAGGAUCCGAAUGAAACUAAGAUGCAGUUCCUCAGUUUGCCAAAUUACGGCAGUGAAAGUGGCCGGAGCACCCCCAGCUUAUCAGCAUAUUCAGACAGCAAAUCUCCCUCCUCCUCCUCCUCCUAUGUCCAAGCACCCAGGCACUUCCAUGUUCCAGAUACUAGGAGUAAAGAUAAUAUAUAUAGAAAGCCCCCUAUCUACAAACAGCAUGUGACAAGGACAUCGUGGCAAGAAGGUGACGAUUUGGAUCUGGACGGCAGAAAGAUGAAAACAAGCUGGCUUAUCCUAAAGAGUGAAAUGGAUGCUAAAAGUGAGGAAUUAGACCCCAGAACAUCAACUCAUAGUCUGCCUACUGACACAGCAGAGUCACGAUUUUCCUACACAAAGUCAGCUUCUCUUCCAGGCUAUGGUCGGAAUGGCAUCAAUAAGACAACCAAUUUAGCCCAGUAUGAAACAGACCACGAUUCAACAUGGGGCACACGAGAAUAUAAGGUAAGCAAAAGUAUUUCAAGAAAAGAAGAUCUGGUAUUGGCCAUCUGAAAAUCGAGAUAAGUUAUCUGGAACUUUAUGUUUAUCCCUAUGAAAUGUUAUCUGUGACAAACAGAGUCCGUGUUAAGUUGCCUAAGGAUGUGGACCGAACCAGGUUGGAGAGGCACUUGUCUCCAGAGGAGUUCUUUCAAGUUUUUGGAAUGACACUUGAAGAGUUUGAGCGCUUAGCUCUCUGGAAAAGGAAUGACCUGAAGAAAAACGCCCGACUGUUUUGAAUAACAUAAUUAAAUCUCCAUUUUCAACUUGCAUUUUGAAACUUAUAAGCCACUAAUCUUUCUAAUGGACCAUCCGCUUACAAUUUCAUUAUGACUGCAAUGUGGAAAAAGUUUAUCAGAAUUUAGUCAGGAUAAAUGACAUACCUGUUUUAGAAUUGCUUGCUGUUCUCUUUUUAAAUUUGAUUUAGGUCCUGGUUUUCAAUUAGUAUGCAUUUUAAUUAAUAAUAUCUCAUUAACUAAUUCACAAAUAAAGGCUAUUUUAAUGCUUUCUGAAGUAGGAGAGAGCAUUAUGUGUAUCUAAUGGCAUCUUACUUUGUUUCUUAAAAUAGAUGAGAAAGAAACUUAAAUCAGUAUAAAAGUAAAACACCCACAUAUAUCUGUAUAAUUGUUAUUUUGUAAGGCCAAAGAAUGACUAGAGUGCUAAUUAGUUUCUUAAUUAAUUUGUGUCUUGUGCAGUUACAACAUCUAUGAGGCAUCCAUUUCAGUUAAAUGUUUUGCAUGUAGUUGUGGGGAUUAACAAAUACAUUAAAUUAUAUAUUUUAUUUUGUAGCAAAAUAAUGAACACUGGCAUAUCUGUUACCUUCAAAUGAAAGUCAUGUAAAUAUAUUUGACAAGAAAUUGUGUAAAUAUAUUUUAACAUAUACAAUACGAUACAUUAUAUUUAGGUUUUAUGCAAGGAUGAUGUAUUUUUGUGCUUAUAUUGUUCAUUGGGAUGCAAUUAAAAAAAGGAAACGUUAUUUACAGGAAACGUAUUAUGUUGCUUACUAUGUACAUCAGUGAGCAAUUAUGCACAAAAAUGUGAGGAAUAUAAUAGUUUCUUAUUCAAUAUUUAUGUCUUUACAAGUAAAUUUCACCCCUUCUAUCAUGAUUGUUUAUAUAUUACUGCAUAUUUUACUUUUAAUAUGUAAUUUUAUGAUAAGUAGAACUUUCACUUACAGUCCUUUCAUAAAAAUUAGUAACUUUCAUCAUCACAUUCAUAGCUAAUUUUAUAAUCAAAAGGUCAGAGGAAGAAAAGAAUAGCAUUCUUAAAUCACAGUGAGUUCACCAGUGCAGAAGUCGAUGCUCCCAAGUACUAAAGCACUUAUUUCAUAAAAAUCUUUAUUUUGUGUUUGAGGUAUUAGGAAGCUCAGCAAUAACAUGUUUAAGGUGUAAUCUUUUUAUCUAGUAAGAACAACACUUUCCAAUGAAACACAGGCUAUAUGCCAAAGGUACUUUGUGGUAGAAUUAUUGAUAUUCAUGCCCAAUUUGGGGAUUGUCAUACAAUGGUUAUUUAAACUGGAUAUCUGUUGUUUCAUACCAGUUUUUUCUGAAUGCUUCUUGACAUCCUGUAGCUUGACUAAUCAGAAGUGACCUGUUCAUAAGAUAAUUGACCUGUUUCUGUAGGGAGUGCCUGCAUUCUGCUUAGGAGUCCUACAGAAACCCUGUGGAAUUGCAUGGGUGUUAGCAGCAUCAGUUAUUGCAUGCACUGUAUGAUAUUAUAGAUACAAAAAGACAAAUGCAUUGUUUUUGAAAUAAAUGUAGAGAUCGUUUCACCCAAUACUGUUACUUCUUAACCCCAAUGACCCUAAUUAACCCUAAUGACCCUUGCUCUUGGUGCAUAUAACACAGUCCACAUAGCUUUUCAGCCUUCCAUACGUGAGCUGUUUUGUGCAUUUUCAGCAAUACACAAAGCAAAUCACUUGCUUUUAUACUCUUUUUGUCUUUUUGAAACCUUGGCGAACAACUGCUGCUCUUGUUGCUGUUAUUAACAUUAAAGUAAAGACUCUACUAAGCCUUUGGGAAUGCUAGGAAUUCUAAAAUCCAUUUUGUUAUUUUUAGAAGGCGUUCUUGUAUUUUUCUUGCGACUGUGAUGUCAUUAAUAAUAACACAAAGUCAAAUGGCCUUUGAUUUCAGUAACCUUAUACACAUAUUUUUCUUUGUCUGUGGCUUAUUGAUUUUAUGUUUUUUCUUUAGUUCAUAAUGUAACAAAACUAGCUUCCUUUGUUUCCAAUAGCUUGUUCUGUUAAUAUAGGUUCUGAUAUGUUACUUAGGGUGCUCAGAAUGACAAUAGCACUAAAUAUGGUUUAACCUUAUAUCAUAUAAGUGAUGUCACAAAAAGUAUUUAAUACAAUCGAUCACACUUUCCAUAACAUGGAAACAGGAAUUUAAAGAGUUUUUAUUCCCUUGUAUGUGUGGCCCAAGCAAAUAAAAGGGUAAAAUAAUGCAUUCACUUUGUUACACUGUGAACCAACUUCCUUUUUAAGUACGGUAUGGACUGUUUUAAAAAAAUGAGCAGCAUUCAUAUAUCCUUGAUCCUUUUUGUAAUUAUAACAUUAUUUCAGGGUGUGCUUUUGCUGUUUUUAAUAAUGCAUUGCUUCAAAAAAGUGGCUUUCACAUUUCCACAUCAUUAAGAGUUUGACCAGACUGUAGCAUAUUAGAUUAAGGAGACUGUGGAAGAUUGUGGGUUCGCUUCCCGGUUCCUCCCUGUGUGGAUAGCGCUUUGAGUACUGAGAAAAGCGCUAUAUAAAUGUAAUGAAUUAUUAUUAUUAUUAUUAUUAUUAGAUUAGAUUUGAUGCUCUUGGCUGGAAUAAAAACAUUUUAUUUUGCAAUGGAUAGCCUAUAGAGUAUUAUAAAAAGAACCUCCUUAUAAUUUUGUUGUGUUACCAAAUUGAAUUUAAAAUUCAGAUUGUUGCCAUAGAUCCAUGCAAAAAACAAAGGUUUAACAUUAAAAUGAAAAUUAAACACUAAGUAGAAAAUACAUUUUAAAAGCCUUAAACUGCGCUUCAGUCAAUAGUUUGACAGAAGCCCCUUAAUCUGAAAUUAAAGCCGUGAGUCUUAACAGUUUUUUCCUUUGUUUUUUGUGAAAUCACCUUUUCCUUUUCAACUUGAAUGGAGACCAUGGAGAACAGUACUCUUCAUCUCCUGCUGUGCUGUACUUCUUUUGAAUAAGUCAACCUGAGGCUCUGAAUGUUUUUGUUUGUAAACUACUCCAUUGUGGCGUUAGAUUUAUGGUGUGAGGUGUUCUCUGUUGGAACAUAAAUCAUCACACAAGGUUUCAGGUCUUCCUUAAACUACAGCAGGUUUUCUUCCUGAAUUUCCCUACUCCAUCCAUUUUGACUUCUGUCUUCACAUGUCUUCCAGGCCUUAAUACAAAGAAGCUUCUUAAUAAGGUUAGUUUUGGUCUUGUCAGAUCACAUACUCAUCUUCCAGUCACAUUUGUGACAGAUUUUCUUCCUUUCCGUUCCUUUUAAAGCCUUGACAAUGCUUUGGUGCCUUGCAGAUUUUCUUGUGUCCCUCCCAUCACUGGUGAUUUUCAAUAACCUUAUCCUGUAUGCACUUUGAAUGUUAAUUUGUCUUGUCUAAUAAUAGUUGCGUACAAAUCUGAGCUCACUGCAUACUUGUCAACAACAACAACAAUUUCUACAGCACAUUUUCAUUUAAAGGAUGUAGCUCAAAAGUGCUUUACAACAUGUCAAAGAAGUAGUUACAUGCAAUGAAAAACAAAUUAAAAUUGGAUAAGAAAAAUAAUAAAUACAUACAGUAGCAUACAAAAUAAAUAAUGCAUACUUAAUUAAGAGAAAUAGAAUACAUAAUUGUCUUUUUUUAAAGUCUCUAAAUGAUAAGGACGGUUGGCCGGGAUGGAGAGAGAAAUAAAAAUAACUCCAGAUAAAUUUGAGAAAAAAACAAAAUCUGCAGGGGCUCCAGGCCAAAAGACCAUCCAGCCCGUGCCUGGCGUUAUGCCUAACAUAAAUGUUCUUAAGUAGUUUGUAAGGCUUUGUCUUAAAGGAUUUGACACAGUGGGUCUCUUGGCAGGUUGGGGAAUCCGCUUUCAUUUAAACAUCGCUGACCCCGUGCAACUAUUUUUGUGAUUUCUAAAGUCAGCUGGUUGCACUAGAGUUUAUUUAGAUGGAUUGUACCAAAUCAAGCAAAUACUUACGGAGUCAGGGGUGUUCUGUUUUAAUUUAUAAUUAAUUCCAAGCAUCAUUUAAAUCUAUUACAGUGUACUAUGUGCAUGUUAUGGAAGUAGUCAAAUGAUUUACAGUGUUCUGUGUUAUACAAACUUUUCAGAAAGCAAAUUCCGUCAAAACCAACUGCACUACAAGAUUAAACAAAGAUCCAGUUAAACAAAAAUCAGUGUGCAAUUUUGGUUUUCAUACAAGUUCACCACAGUACUCCACUGUCACCUCAUAGGUGUGAUAGCUGCCUUAUUACAUGUAUAAUUUGGCUACAAUUUUUAACAGUGUCACAAAAUAACAACAGUUUUUAAGCAGUGCAUAGUCUUAGGUAUUAUCAAAAAUUCCUUUGACAGUAAAAAUAAGAUAAAUGUGAUGUCUACAAUCUGGUGGUCAUUGUAGAUAAUAGAGGUACACUACAAUAGAUUCUGUGUUGGUGCUUGGUUAGUCUUCUCCAAAGGUAUCUAAUCGUAUGGAUUAGUGGUACUGAGGUUUGGAUUUUCUGUGUUUCAAGGCCCUGACAUAUGUCUCUAGAGGUGUAUUUGAUGAGGCAACUCUGCUCGAGUAUUCCAGUACCAGCAGAAGGUAGUCACUGGCAUUUCUUCAGAUGUCCACAUUCUUUCACUAAUUGUAUAAGUUUAUGUCCCUAACUUGUUUAAACCAAAACAAUCUGACAAUUUUAAAUCACCUUUUUAUUGUUUUAACCAUUUACUGUAUAUCAAUACCUCUUACGAGCAUCCCCUUCAGCACCAUUAGCACCACUUACCACCCGUGUGGUGUCACCCUGUGCAAGUCACUUGAUUUUGCUGCAGUUAUAAAUAAAAAACAAAUGACUGCAUAUAAUGUAUAUAUAAUCAUUUGUUUUACAGCUCUAGGAUCGUGUUCACUAUAGGAAAUAAUUUGCUUGUUUUAGUUUCCUGUAAUUGUGACAAGAAUAAGUAUAACAUGUAAUAUGUGUACAGUCUUAAAAGAUCUGUGAAGUUAGAA
Molecule: RNA transcript, 7230 nt
Organism: Erpetoichthys calabaricus (reedfish)
Lineage: Eukaryota; Metazoa; Chordata; Cladistia; Polypteriformes; Polypteridae
Gene: ablim2
Gene name: actin binding LIM protein family, member 2
Exons: 24
Source: RefSeq, a predicted model, not a curated record